AGCGAACGCUGGCGGCAGGCCUAACACAUGCAAGUCGAACGAACCUUUCGGGGUUAGUGGCGGACGGGUGAGUAACACGUGGGAACGUGCCUUUAGGUUCGGAAUAACUCAGGGAAACUUGUGCUAAUACCGAAUGUGCCCUUCGGGGGAAAGAUUUAUCGCCUUUAGAGCGGCCCGCGUCUGAUUAGCUAGUUGGUUGAGGUAAUGGCUCACCAAGGCGACGAUCAGUAGCUGGUCUGAGAGGAUGAUCAGCCACAUUGGGACUGAGACACGGCCCAAACUCCUACGGGAGGCAGCAGGUGGGAAUCUUGCGCAAUGGGCGAAAGCCUGACGCAGCCAUGCCGCGUGAAUGAUGAAGGUCUUAGGAUUGUAAAAUUCUUUCACCGGGGACGAUAAUGACGGUACCCGGAGAAGAAGCCCCGGCUAACUUCGUG
RNAcentral lists this ribosomal RNA (434 nucleotides) under uncultured bacterium. RNAcentral describes it as "partial 16S ribosomal RNA". It matches the Rfam family "Bacterial small subunit ribosomal RNA", at positions 29 to 507 of the family's 1533-position model. The record is from RNAcentral.